GAGAUUCUCAAUGGGCAUGAUCCCUCUAGUAGGGAGGGAGGAGGAGGGAGUUUAAAUCUCUUGCUGCAAAUAGGUGAAGGGGUGGCUAUAUGAGGCAGAGGACAGGAGGCAGGCAGGGUGCUGCUGGCUGGAGGGAAGGAGCUUCACCUCGGCUUAAACUGUAACCCUCUAUUCAGAGCACGCAGCUCCUGGCAGCUACGCUCAUUCCAAAGCCUUGACUCAGGGUUAUCUGCAUUCUGGGUAAUAAUUUGCGUCACUGGAGGAAUGUGCAAAGAAAGCAGCUAUGGUGGAAAGCAGGACCACCUUGUGCAAAGUUCGCCCCAGGCUUUCCUAACAAAGCUCCGAAGAAUUGAGGGUAUUACUCUGUGUUGGUUUGUUCAUUUUCUAGUAGCAAAGGAGAAGCAGCUCAUGUCUUAGGCUGGAUGUUCAUUAAAACAUGCCCAGGCUGGCGCACCUUUGGGGGGAAGAGCAAAGGCACAAGGAACACUACCAACUGUGUGAUCUUCGCAUGGACAUUUGGUCAAGCUGAGUUUAAAGAAGGCAGAUUGAUCAAUCCAUCAGUGUCCUUGAAUGGCUGGCUGCCGGUUUGUGACAGCUCCAGGCAAAACCCAAAAGAGACAAUGAUGUCAGCACUACCUUCAUCACCCAGGGCCCCUUGCCUGACAAUGUGGACAAUCCAACACAUUCCGAUCUGCCACAAUAAGGGCAUUCAGACUCCUAUUUCCUGACCUCUUGAGAUUAAAACAUGUGGAGUUAAAUAUAUAUACAGCCUGAUGCACAUGGACUUAUAUUGGCCCAGAAAUAGACUGAUGGGAAAUAGUCUGCAGCUUUUGCCACCCAACACGCAGUAUCAGUGUCAACUUUGUCAUUGAGAAAAACACAUGUUCGGGGGGAGGGGGCAAGGGAGAAGAAGGGGAAUGUACAGUAAAUGUUCGUGUAGCUAAGAUACAGUUCUCUUCUGCACACUGCAAUUCUGUGUCCAGUCAGUGGCACUGCGUGUGAGACCCCCCAAAAGACCUUGAGAUGGAUAGAUAAAAUAGAAAGUGAGGGAUUAAGGCAGUAAAGGGAAAAUGGUAGUAAAACCAGUCCUGUAAUUCCAUAAAUUAUUCUUUAUUUUCUAGCACUGCCUUUUUUGAGCAUUCACAGCAAAGCAGCGUCAUAGUUGGGAUGGGUGUGUUCACUCACAGCUGAUGCAAGAGAGAGAGAGAGCCUGUUAGAUGGAGUGCCUUUCCAUAUUGCUGUGUUGGGGUAUAAUGACAUACUAGGAGAAUCUCUGGCAAGCUGAAUGAAGUGUUUUUAUCCUUAUAGUGGGAGCCAACAGUUAAAGGGAAAUUAUCUCUAUAAAUGUGUCUUAUUGCCAGUUUUAUUGGUGGUGGUAUAUGUGUGUAUAUGGCUGUGCAUGUGUUUGCGUGUGUGUGUACUAUGUUUAGUUGUCCAUAUGUAUCUAUAUGCCUCCAUAUUUGUCUCUAAUUGUGUAUGUAUAUUUCUCUGCAUGUUUCCUUAUUUGUUUCAGUCUUUGUCUGUAUCCACAUAUAUGCGUGUUCCCAUUAAUAUGUAGUAAGAGAAAGAUGAUAAACUUAGAGACAA
This is a long non-coding RNA of Crocodylus porosus (Australian saltwater crocodile), 1587 nucleotides long. The record is from Ensembl. Lineage: Eukaryota; Metazoa; Chordata; Crocodylia; Crocodylidae.